UAGUAUCCCCUUAUACAGGAUAAAUAAGUCCAGGGACACAUUUGUCCCUUGAGCAAUACAAAGAUGAAUUUUCACAAUGCCACAAAUGGCUAAAGUACUGCAAAACUGUGUGUCUUUUUUUUUUUUUAAUCUGUGAAAUGUCUAGGGCCUGUCAAGUCUACUUUGUCUUGACUGUUUUAAAAUGCAUUCACUGUUUCUAAAGCGUCAAACUGUCUUUUGCCCUUUGCUGUGGGGCGAUAAAGCAUACUGAACUGAACUCAUGUAGUGAACGUUUUUCAACCACGGCAGUAAACUUAUUGAUGAAUUACUACCUGUUAAUAAAAAAAACAUUUUACAUAAAAGGAAAAACUUCUUUAACAACCAAGAAGAGUCCAGUAGUUCAACUUUUGUGAAUUAUCAUGAGCUGGAUGGCUGAGAAUCUCCACAGACACGAUCAAUCAAAACUGAGCAUUGCUAUCUGUGUGAAGGAAGGAUUUUCGAUUUAGGUCUUGUAUUGCAUCUCAAUAUAGUGUACUUAACAUUGCGAAUAUAAAAACAUUAUUUCAUCUUAUCCGUAGGAAAUUUUAGAGGCAAAACCUGCUCACAGCAGAUCCUGAAGUCACCCGUCUCUGAUGACACCAAGGACAUCGCGAUCCCUCUGUCCCCAGGUCCGCUCGAGCAAGAGCAGUGAUGUGAGGGACGUUGAACCGGCUUUGAAUCAGAUGUGUGAUGCAAUUUAUCUACACAGAGGACAAAAUGCAAAAAAAUGCAAAAGGCUCUUCCUGUUGAUCUUUAUGCAUCGGAGGCCCUUCCAAUUGUGUGUCAUUCAAAGUGGCAUCUUUCCCUGACAAGAUCCUACGUGGGACAGAACUCUUCAGAAUAGAUCUAAAC
Phyllopteryx taeniolatus (common seadragon) is the source of this 870-nucleotide long non-coding RNA. RefSeq lists it as uncharacterized. NCBI's taxonomy places the organism in Eukaryota, Metazoa, Chordata, Actinopteri, Syngnathiformes, Syngnathidae. The transcript is spliced from 3 exons. The record is from RefSeq and is a predicted model, not a curated record.